AAGUCGAACGGUAACAGGAAGAAGCUUGCUUCUUUGCUGACGAGUGGCGGACGGGUGAGUAAUGUCUGGGAAACUGCCUGAUGGAGGGGGAUAACUACUGGAAACGGUAGCUAAUACCGCAUAACGUCGCAAGACCAAAGAGGGGGACCUUCGGGCCUCUUGCCAUCGGAUGUGCCCAGAUGGGAUUAGCUAGUAGGUGGGGUAACGGCUCACCUAGGCGACGAUCCCUAGCUGGUCUGAGAGGAUGACCAGCCACACUGGAACUGAGACACGGUCCAGACUCCUACGGGAGGCAGCAGUGGGGAAUAUUGCACAAUGGGCGCAAGCCUGAUGCAGCCAUGCCGCGUGUAUGAAGAAGGCCUUCGGGUUGUAAAGUACUUUCAGCGGGGAGGAA
RNAcentral lists this ribosomal RNA (394 nucleotides) under Escherichia coli. Its description in RNAcentral is "bacterial SSU rRNA". It matches the Rfam family "Bacterial small subunit ribosomal RNA", at positions 59 to 449 of the family's 1533-position model. The record is from RNAcentral. Lineage: Bacteria; Pseudomonadati; Pseudomonadota; Gammaproteobacteria; Enterobacterales; Enterobacteriaceae.